RNAcentral lists this ribosomal RNA (267 nucleotides) under Psathyrella pyrotricha. Its description in RNAcentral is "partial large subunit ribosomal RNA". It matches the Rfam family "Eukaryotic large subunit ribosomal RNA", at positions 419 to 675 of the family's 3401-position model. The record is from RNAcentral. Lineage: Eukaryota; Fungi; Basidiomycota; Agaricomycetes; Agaricales; Psathyrellaceae.
ACGCUUGAAGUCAGUCGCGUUGGCUGGAAAUCAACCCUGCUUUUGCUGGGCGUACUUUCUAGUUGACGGGCCAGCAUCAGUUUUGAUCGGUGGAAAAAGUCUAGGGGAAUGUGGCAUCUUCGGAUGUGUUAUAGCCCUUGGUCGUAUACAUCGAUUGGGACUGAGGAACUCAGCACGCCGCAAGGCCGGGUCUUUGACCACGUUCGUGCUUAGGAUGCUGGCAUAAUGGCUUUAAUCGACCCGUCUUGAAACACGGACCAAGGAGUC